AGACGUCUGGAGGAGGUGAGAAGAGGAAGGAAGCAGAAGAUGAGAGUGUUGACAGAGCGUGCAAAGCGAAGAGAAGAAACUUCAACAGUAAAUGGCAGACAGGCCGUGAAUGGCUUGUGUUUGACAAUGAAAAUGCAGUAAUGUUUUGUAAAAUUUGCCGAGUGUACACGAAAGAAAAAAACAAAACUAACAGUUUUGUGGUGGGGACUAAUAAUUUUAAAAUCGAGGCUGUAAAGGACCACGAGAAAGCUCGAAGUCACCAGGAAAGCCUCCAAAUGAAGAUUGCUAAGGCAGUUCCAGUUGAAGAGUGUUGCUGGGAAAAGCCUCUCUUCACUCAGAAGUUUGGAGUUGGAAAAGAUGCAGCUUCUUUUUAGAAAUGCUCAUGCCAUCGCAAAAAGGGAAGGCCUUUCACCGACUUUGCAUGGAUGUGUGAGUAAGUAAAUCAAUCAUUCCAUUUACAUGUUUCAGAAUCAGUGCAUUUAAACUGAUACAGAGUGAUGAUGUACACGCCUUUACUGACACAGAUGAAAUGUUAUGCUUGAUUUCAAAAAGAAAAAAGAAAAGAACUCAGUAACUGAACUCUGCACUAACUUUGGCUUCAUUCACAUGAUUAAUUUAGGGUGGACAGGAAGAAAGGCUUGAAGAUAGGAGAGACAUAUACAAAUGACCACCAAGCAAAAUAAUUCAUACACUACAUAGCAGAGGAUGAGAGGAGAAAAAUGAAGACAAGACUAUUAGAUGGCAAGUUCAUGUCAGUCAUGUCAGAUGGAUCCCUGGACAGUGCAGUGAUGGAAGAAGAAAUUGUUUAUGUCAGGAGUGCCAGUGAAGGAAAAGUUCAAGUUGACUUUGUUGGGGCUAAAUCAGUCUCAAAGCCAGAUGCUGCAAAUAUAGCUGAAGCUGUGUGCGGUAUGUUGGACAGUGAAGUCAGCACUGAUUGGAAGAAGAAGCUGGUUGCCAUCACGACUGAUGGAGCAUCUGUAAUGACAGGAGUAAACAAUGGUGUUGUUACAAAACUGCGUGGAGACAGAUGUUACGUGCUUGGAAUCCACUGCAUGGCCCAUAAGCUUGAACUCUCCUUUUCGGAUGGAAUAAGGAAGAAUGUGAUGGUCAGGAAAGUUGAGGACCUGUUGAGUGGACUCUACACCUUAUAUCAUAAGAGUGGCGUAAACAGGGCCAGCCUAAAGGAUCACUUCAGGGAGCUUCACCUGAAGCCUUUGAUGCCAACCAGAAUAGGUGGAACCCGGUGGCUCCCACAUUUCUUCAAUGCACUUGAUCAUUUUCUCAGGGGAUAUGUUGGCUUUGUCCACCACUUAGAGGAGAAGGUAUGUUAAUUUACAGCCUACUAAAACUAGUGUAGAUAGAUACAAUCUUCUCUAAAUCUGAUACUCAUUAUCAUCAGUUUUAAUGCGGUCUGUGGCUGUGAUAUAAUUUAGUUUGUUUGUCUGUAGUCCCAAAAUACCAAGAACACCAAUGCAGUUCUGAGGGCAAAGGCCAAGGGGUUCCUCAACAUAGCCAAGGAUGGUGGGGUGCUCAGGUUUUGCUGCCUUCUCCAUGACACCAUCUAUCAACUGAGCAGCCUCUCCAAGUCACUGCAGAGGUCCGUGUCAACCCUGGCUGAAGCUCAGAGUUGCCUGUCUUCUACUCAAGCUGCCAUUCAAAAGUACAAGUCAAGACCUGGGCCUAAGCUGAGAUCAGUGCUGGACACAGACACAUAUGAGGGAGUCCUUCUGAAGCCUUCUGAUGCUGGCCAGCACAACAAGGCAAAGAACGAGUUGAUCGGUUCUCUUUGUCAAUGCAUCACUGCGAGAUUUAGUGAUGUGAACAGUGGUGUCCUGCAUGCUAUGCGACUGACCAGUUUCCAGUGCUGGCCAGAGGCAGACACGAGUUUCGAUUUUGGUGAUGAGGAGAUAAACAAGCUCACAAGUCACUUCCGACCUCUUCUGCUGUCUGCUGGAGUGGAUGUGGACUUGAUCCCUGAUCAAUGGACAAUUCUUAAGGCUGAACUGUACACAGCAGGAUUUAGCCAAGGAACUUUUGAGAAAACCUGGCCUACUGUGAACAGAAUGCUGCGCCAA
Non-coding RNA from Nothobranchius furzeri (turquoise killifish), 2075 nucleotides. The record is from RefSeq and is a predicted model, not a curated record. NCBI's taxonomy places the organism in Eukaryota, Metazoa, Chordata, Actinopteri, Cyprinodontiformes, Nothobranchiidae.